GUUAUGAUUUAUAAAGGUAGACACAAGGGAUUUAAAAUCCCUCGGCGUUCGCGCUGUGCGGGUUCAAGUCCCGCUCCGGGUACCA
RNAcentral lists this transfer RNA (85 nucleotides) under Escherichia coli O157:H7. RNAcentral's name for it is "tRNA-Leu". Lineage: Bacteria; Pseudomonadati; Pseudomonadota; Gammaproteobacteria; Enterobacterales; Enterobacteriaceae. The record is from RNAcentral.